Molecule: RNA transcript, 9090 nt
Organism: Loxodonta africana (African savanna elephant)
Lineage: Eukaryota; Metazoa; Chordata; Mammalia; Proboscidea; Elephantidae
Gene: TMEM67
Gene name: transmembrane protein 67
Exons: 29
Source: RefSeq, a predicted model, not a curated record
GCCGGAGCGGCCGCUGGCGUCGGAACCAUGGCGACGGGUGGCGGUGGUGGUGGGGUGGCAAUGGCGGCUUGGCCCACUUUGUCCGCUGCGGCUUUGACGGCGCUCCUCCUGUUGGCCCUCCCUCGAGUCUUACAAGCCCAGACCUUCUCUUUACCUUUCCGGCAGCCAGAAUCGUGCAGCCAUAACCAGUACUUCGAUAUCUCCGCCCUCUCCUGCGUUCCGUGUGGAGCCAACCAGAGGCAGGACGCCGGAGGAACUUCAUGUGUGUGUUUACCAGGAUUUCAGAUGAUCUCUAAUAAUGGAGGAUCUGUCGUUAUUUGUAAAAAGUGCCCAGAAAACAUGAAAGGUGUUACCGAAGAUGGCUGGAAUUGCAUUUCUUGCCCUGGUGGUUUAACUGCAGAAGGAAAAUGCAGCUGUCCCACUGGCCAUAUUUUAGUGGAAAGAGAUGUUAAUGGAACGUUGUUGUCUCAAGCAACUUGUAAGCUCUGUGAUGGGAAUGAAAAUUCUUUUACAAUAGCAAAUGCUUUAGGAAACAGGUGUGUUCGAUGUGAGCCAACAUUUGUCAAUACCAGCAGGUCCUGUGCAUGUUCAGAACCUAACAUUUUAACAGGGGGAUUAUGUUUCAGCAGCACAGGAAAUUUUCCUCCACGUGUGAUUUCAACCGCACGUUAUGGAGAGCUUGGCAUGUCUUUAACUUCAGAAUGGUUUUCAAAGUAUUUGCAAUCAUCAGCAGCUGCUUGUUGGGUAUAUGCCAAUCUAACAUCUUGCCAAGCUCUGGGGAAUAUGUGUGUGAUGAACAUGAAUUCAUAUGACCUUGCAACUUUUGAUGCAUGUCGACUGUUUCAGUUUAUCUUUGAAAACACUGCUGGAUUAAGGACUGUUCAUUCUGUUUCGUUUUGGAGACAGAAUCUUCCAUGGCUGUUCUAUGGAGACCAGCUAGGAUUAGCACCUCAAGUACUCAGUACUACACCACUUCCUACAAAUUUCAGUUUUAAAGGGCAAAACCAGAAUACAAAACUGAAAUUUGUUGCUGCUUCUUAUGAUAUAAGAGGACAUUUUCUCAAGUGGCAAACUUUAGAAGGAGGUAUUUUACAGCUUUGUCCAGACACAGAGACAAGACUAAAUGCUGCAUAUUCUUUUGGAACAACCUAUCAACAAAACUGUGAAAUUCCUGUCUCUAAGAUCUUAACUGACUUUCCCACUCCUGUAUUUUAUGAUGUGUUCCUUGAGUAUACUGAUGAAAAUCAACACGAAUAUAUUUGGGCUGUGCCGGUAUUAAACCUAAAUCUUCAACACAAUAAAUUAUUUGUGAACCAAGAUAGUAGUUCUGCCAAGUGGCUCCUGACUCGGCGCAUUUUCCUAGUGGAUGCAGUAAGUGGACGAGAAAAUGACUUACGAGGUCAGCCAAGAGUAAUUCGAAUUGCUACCCAGAUAUCACUGAGUAGCAUCCACCUGGUACCCAACACAAAAAAUGGAAACAUCUACCCUCCCUUAAUUACCAUUGCCUACAGCGACAUUGAUAUCAACGAUCCCAACCUCCAGUCCAUGAAAGUUUCUUUCUCAGUCAACUAUGAAAUGAAUCAAGGAGAAGCACAUGUCCAGACAGAUAUUGCUUUGGGUGUGCUGGGUGGGCUAGCUGUUUUAUUGUCUCUUUUGAAGACAGCAGGAUGGAAGAGGCGCAUUGGAAGUCCCAUGAUUGAUUUACAGACAGUUAUGAAAUUCUUAGUGUACUAUGCUGGCGAUCUGGCCAAUGUUUUCUUUAUCAUCACAGCAGGAAUGGGUCUUUAUUGGCUUAUUUUCUUCAAAGCGCAGAAGUCUGUCUCUGUUUUGCUACCAACGCCAGCUCAGGAAGAACGUUUUAUUACUUACGUGGGAUGUGCUUUUGCUCUGAAGGCUCUACAAUUUCUGCAGAAGCUCAUAUCCCAGGUUACCAUAGACAUAUUCUUUAUUGACUGGGAGCGACCUAAAGGAAAGGUUCUUAAAGCUGUUGAAGGUGAGGGUGGUGUAAGGAGUGCUACUGUUCCCGUAAGCAUAUGGAGAACGUAUUUUGUAGCGAAUGAAUGGAAUGAAAUUCAGACUGUGAGAAAAAUUAAUCCACUCUUUCAAGUACUUACUGUCAUCUUCUUUUUGGAGGUUGUGGGAUUCAAGAACUUAGCGUUAAUGGACCCAUCCUCUAGUCUUUCCAGAAGCCCGUCCAGCUACAUAGCUCCUUAUAGCCGCAUUUUGAGAUAUGCAGUGUCCUCUGCUCUUUGGCUAGUCAUUGGCAUUAUACAGAUCAUGUUCUUUGCUGUUUUUUAUGAGAGAUUUAUAGAAGAUAAAAUUCGACAGUUCGUUGAUUUAUGCUGUAUGAGCAAUAUAUCAGUGUUUCUUCUGUCCCACAGAUGUUUUGGGUAUUAUGUCCACGGUAGAUCAGUACAUGGGCAUGCAGACACUAACAUGGAAGAGAUGAAUAUGAAUCUGAAAAGAGAAGCGGAAAAUUUGUGUAGCCAGAGAGGCUUGGUACCCAACACAGAUGGUCAGACUUUUCAGAUUGCAGUUUCUAGCCAGAUGAGACAACACUAUGACAGAAUUCACGAGACACUAACAAGGAAAAAUGGCCCUGCUAGACUGUUGAGUUCAUCAGCAAGUACUUUUGAACAGAGUAUAAAAGCAUAUCAUACUAUGAAUAAAUUUCUUGGCUCCUUCAUCGAUCAUGUUCAUAAGGAAAUGGACUACUUUAUAAAAGACAAGUUGCUUCUUGAAAGAAUCCUUGGAAUGGAAUUCAUGGAACCGAUGGACAAGAGCAUCUUCUACAAUGAUGAAGGUUAUUCUUUCAGCAGUGUUCUGUAUUAUGGAAACGAAGCCACCCUGCUUAUCUUUGAUCUACUCUUUUUCUGUGUUGUGGAUUUGGCUUGCCGAAAUUUUAUUUUAGCAGCCUUCCUCACAUACUUACAACAAGAGAUUUUUAGAUUUAUUCGUAAUACAGUAGGACAGAGGAAUUUGGCAUCCAAAACAUUAGUGGAUCAAAGAUUUCUGAUUUAAUUUAUGGAAUGGAUAACUUCAAGACAAUAUAAUCAUGGCAAACAACAAAAUGUGAUUAUCAGGUCUUCUCUGCAUUUUCACAAAAGGACCUGUCUGCUGUCAAAACGCAUUAGACACAAUCACCUGAAAAGCUCACCAGACUCCACGUGGUGAAGAAAGCUUAAGAACAGGGCCCUGGAGUCAAAGCGGCUGUAUUAUAUCUGGCUCCCCAAGCCUGGUAACCUUGGGCAACUUACUGUACUGCCCUGUGUCUCUCUGGUUUCCUCACCUGUUGACUGGGGCUGAUAAUAAGAUAGUUGUGAGGUUUAAAUGACUUAAUAUAUGUAGAAUACUUAGAAGAGGUACCUUUGAUACAAAGUGAGAAAGUACAUGUAGUCUCCAACUUACGAUGUAUUCGAGUUACAAUGAACUUAAAACCAUCAGGUUUUUUUUGGUAUGUCUUAUAUAGUUUUUUUUUUCUUAUAUAUAGUUAGUAAUCUUGAUAAGGUGGUUGUUAGGUGCCAUCGAGUCGAUUCCGACCCACAGCAACCUUAUAGGACAGAGUAGAACUGCCUCAUGGUGUUUCCAAGGAGCGGCUGGUAGGUUUGCCCUUUCGACCUUUUAGUUAUCAGCUGAGCUCCUAACCACUAUGCCACCAGGGCUCCUGGUAAAGUAGAGGGUCAGUGAAAAAGAGGAAGAUCCUCAAGGAGAUGGACUGACACAGUGGCUGCAAUAAUGGGCUCAAGCAUAACAACGACUGGGAGGACCAGGCAGUGUUUUGUUCUGUUGUACAUAGGGUUUCUAUGUGUCAGAACCGACUUGACGGCACCUAACAACAACAGUAAUAUGUACUACAGACAGUGUUGCAACGGGUAACUUGCUGAUGUUAUUCUCAGAUGUCACUCGCAGAUGUUCAACGUUAUUAUUAUUUACUGUUCAAAACACUGCUGUAUAACAGGCUGGCGUCAGAAGUCAUAAAGGAUAGGUAGUUGGACAGUGUUCAACUCUAAAACCCACUGCUGUAGUCGAUUCCGACUCAUAGCGACUCUAUAGGACAGGGUAGAACUGCCCCACAGAGUUUCCAAGGAACACCUGGUGGUUUCGAACUGCCAACCUUUUGGUAGCAGCUGUAGUACUUAACCACUACGUCACCAGGGUUUCCAUAAUGUUCAUCUCUAAGGACAUGUAGUUAAACUGUCCCAGUGCCCGACAGCUGUUACUUAAUAAUACCCCAGGACAUUCUCCUGACGUACGUGAUCUAAAUCGAGAUGUGAAGUGGUGUAUCUGCCUCCCAAUGCCAGAGCUGGGAUUCAGCCUGUGGUCAAGGUACAAUUGCCACCUUCAGUGCAUGCUACCUUCGGACUACGUUUGCCCAGCCAACAUACAGAUGGAGAUGUACGGUAACCUUACACAGUUCUGGAAGAAUUAUGAUAUUCUCAGUGUAUCUAGAACAUUGCCUCUUCCUGGGAGAAAGUUACAGGAAGAGGCAUGCAGGGGAUAUGGAAGAAAUUGCUGAGUUAUGUGAACACGCUCCAAGCUUUUGAUCAGGAUAGUAUGAUGGAAGAGAUGGGUGGAAAAGUCCAUAUGGUAAGAACGCUGAAUUUAGAACUUACUAUCACCAGCCAAUGGGAAACAGCUCAUAGAUCACGAAGACGGGAAAUUGACAGAUCAGGAUUUAAUGGAUUUUGAAGAGGAAAGAAUUGCUGAAGAAGAAAGAAAUAAUGAGAGAGGAUUAGCUGAUAAUUUUUCUAAACUAAAUCAGGGGCUUCGGUUGCUUAAAAUCGUGGACUAAAACACUGAUUGCUUUGCUGAAGUUGAUAGGCAGAUUUGGGAAGCGGUGAGAUGUUACCUCGAAAUAUAUGAAGGAAAAAAAAGGUUGAUACAGACCAAAAACCAAGCCAAACCUACUGCCAUCAAACUGAUUCCAACUCAUAGCCGCCCUAUAGGACGGAGUAGAACUGUCCUGUAGAGUUUCCAAGGACCGCCUGGCAGAUUCGAACUGCCGACCUUUUGGUUAGCAGCCGUAGCACUUAACCACUCCUCCACAAGGGUUUCCAAACCUGUUGCCAUUGAGUCGAUUCUGACUCAUAGCAACCCUAUAAGUCAAAGUAGAACUGUUCCAUAGGGCUUUCAAGGAGAGGCUGGUGGAUUCGAACUGCCGUCCUCUUGGUUGACAGCCAAGCUCUUAACCACUGCGCCACCAGGGCUCCACUGUGAUCAUACAGACAGCUCUCACUAAUUUUCUGACUAGAAGCACCAUCCCCAUUCCCAGGGAUAAUCCAGAUAAUCCAGAACCUUCCACAAGUGGAGUUAUUACCCCAACUGACAAAAUGCCAACAUCAUCCAACUCCUCUUCAUCGCCAGGGUAAAUUUUUUAUGAUUUGUGUAUUUUUUUAUGUAUAUAUUAAAAUAUAUUUGUAAGUUUAUAUGUAAUAUUUCCAACCCCCAAGACAAAUAAAGAUCUGAUCUAUCAAGAUACUGAUAAUAAAAGGCAAUAAUAUGAAAACUUAAAAAAAAAAAUGAGGUAUUCGAGUUAACGCCAAAAUUGACUUGUGACAGAGUCAUCGGAACAGAGCCCUGUUGUAAAUCAGAAACUAUCUGGUAAAAAAAAAAAAAAAAAUUUUUUUUUUUUUUCUGGUACAGGGCAUAAAAAUGGAAUAUGCUUCUUAAUCUCACUCUUCUGUCCCUCAGAAGUAUCUACUUUUAAUGGUCUGGGAUAUGUUUUAUCAGAUAUUUUUCUGUGUGUGGGUCAUAGCAUGUGCAAGAAUGACCUUUCUGAACAAAGGAAUUUUAUACAAAGCUAAGAAUGCCAAGAAACAGAACGACAGAGACAGAUUUUAAAAGGAGCAUCAUGGCCAUAGAUUAAAGGAAUCUCUUCAAAUAAAUAUACAUUUCAUGGAGCAGUCAUUUACUGAGUUCUUGCUGCAUACAAGGACUACUAAGACCCUCAAGGCAGGGGUGACAGAAUAUAGUAUGAAAGUACUUGGAAUCUGCCCACAGGAAAUUUAAUGUAUAAUGAAAAAAUGAAUGCUGACCAUGCAGCCUUAACCUUAAAAGAGUGGGCAGUCCAAGUAGCUCAUUAAAGCCCCCUGAGCCAGGGGAGUGCACCAGGGGCAGAGUGAGGGUAACGAGCGCCAGGGCAAUCUUUAAAUUGCACCUUCCCCACCAAUUUCAAGAUGAAUAGACGUUGAUAGCUGCGAGUCAGCAGAAGCACCUUCCCCUCUCUUGUCCGGCUGCCUCUGAGUCAGGCGCCUUUCAUAUUUGUGGUGCCUCAGAAUGUCAUUUUGCACCUUGUCUGGCACCCUCUUAGACUUAUGCCCGGGGGCAAGUGUCCCUCUCGGUUCCCUCCCCUCCCCCCACUGUGCCUCUGGAGUGCCCUGGACAAAAACUCUUGCCUUAGAGAGCUGUGAUCAGUACUCUGUUAGCUUUCUUUUCAUUUUUUUUAGUAAGUCCUUGGGAGUGAAACUGUUCUUCUCUCAGCUAAAGGACAUCGGGAGUAAUUUAUUUUACUUUACUUUUUACAGUUCAGACUAUUCUCGAAGCCAGCAAAAACAAAAAAACAAACUUACUGCCAUCAAGUCUAUUCUGACUCAUGUCAACCAGUGUGUUACUGAGUGGAGCUGGGCUUCAUAGGGUUUUCUUGGCCGUCAUCUGUGCAGAAGCAGAUCACCAGGCCUUUCUUCAGCAGAGCUUCUGGGUGAAUUUGAACCAGAAACCUUUAGGUUAGUAGUCUGAGCGCUCAACUGUUUGCUCCACCUUAAAAAUGAAAAAGCAUGUAUUAAUGUUACGCUAAUUCUCAAGUACUUGAGGGCAUAUUUAUUUAAUUGUAGACAUGUUGGAUACUUUGAAGAAUAGUAAAGCCAAGUGGUUUUUUAAUGAAAUGAAGUUAGUAUCCUUAAACUACACUAUUUUAAUACUUAAAAUACAAAAGAACAUCCAUUAUGACACACAAAGAAGACAUUUCCAUAACUCCAAAUUAAAUUGUUUCUCCCAGUCUUGAUAGUGAGAGGGGGAAAGUGCAUAGAAAACUAAGGCAUGAUAACUGGGUUCUAGAGGUUUACACAGUAAUAUAUCAAGUGCCAUGUUGCCAUCGAGUCAGUUCUGACUCACAGUGACCCUAUAGGACAGUGUAGAACUGCCCCAUAGGGUUUCUAAGGAGCAGCUGGUGGAUUAGAACUGCCAACCUUUUGGUUAGCAGCCAAGCUCUUAACCACUACACCACCAGGGCGCCCAUCAAAUGCCAAAAGGAAUACUAAAAGCAGAAGUUCUUAGGAGUUCAGCAAAGAAGGCAGUUAGAAGAGAAUGAAGCUGCUGGGGAGGAAAGUAGCCUUGGUGCAGGAUGAAUCUGAGUUAAAACAGCGUGAGGUUUGGGAAAUACUUAGAUACUUGGAUGAACAGAAUGAAGACAUCUCCAGGGUAAAGGGUGUAAAAAAAAUAAUUAAAGCUCACCAGAAUUUGAACAUAAGGUUUAUUCUCAGCAGUUACUCUAUAUGCAUAUAGGGAGACCAUUUUGAUUCCAGAAAAAGCAAAUGGCUCUUUUGGUACAAUGAACUUAUAAAGAGGAGGGGAAAAUAUAGAAGAUCAACAAUUGGCUAAUUGAUGAAUGUUGAAUAUGAAUGAUUGAUUGAACCCUGCCUUCCCCUUUUACUGAAAUCAAGUGGUAUCAGUUUACUUCUGGCCUGGCUGCUAAUAAUUUGGCCCUCCAUCCACCUGCACAAGAGCCCCGGUGGUACAGUGGUUAAAGCCUUUGGCUGCAAGCCAACAGAUUGGUGGUUUGAAUCCACCAGCUGCACCUUGGGAGAAAGAGCAAUUGGCUUCUGUAAAGAUUACAGCCUGAGAAACCCUAUGGGGCAGUUUUACUCUGCUACAGGGUCCCUAUGAGUUGGAACUGACUCGAUGGCAACGAGUUUGGUUUUUUUUGUUGUUGUUGUUGUUUUGGUUGGCUGCCCUGUCUAGCAGGAUAGAACAAAUUUACAUUGUUAUAGAGCAGUUUCUGGCAGGCUUUUGCAGUUUGGGUCAGACUUUUUAUGGUUAAUAUUUGGUUUUGCAGUAAGAAGAACCUUAAAAUCAGACUAAGAUGUCUGUUACUAAUUUUCUUCUUGAGCAAGGGCAUGGAGGUCCAUGCUGAAAGUAUGGCACAUUCACCGGAACUGAGGAGUCAGCCAGGCUGAAGCGAUUUACCUCAAGGAGCAGCAGAGCUUGUCUGAAUGGGCCAGGUUGUCUCAUAAACUGGUCUGAGGGUCUUCAGCAUAGUAACCAUCUUCCACUGGAGUCAGAGAUCUUGGGGUGAUUAUCUGGCCCUGCUUCUUGACAGCCAGCGCUUAUCCUCACUGAACGUCAGUUUCCUGAGGCUGCAGGAAGUGGAAGAAACAAUAUAUAGCUAAAGGAUUUUAUGAACUGUAAGGUUUAUCACAAAUCUUUAUUAAAAUGCUACAGUUCUAUUUGAGAAUUAUCACUAUUCCAGGCACAGUCAUUCUAUCUCUCUUAUUUCCUCAAUGUUCAAGGAAGUAGCAAAGUGAGUAGUGAAAAAAGCACUGGUCUGAGAAGCAGUGGACUAAGGUUUAAUUCACUAAUGAGCCAUCUAAGCAAGUUAUCUGGUCUUUUCCGGGAGUGUUACUUCAUCUGUAAAAUGGAGAUAAUACCAAAAAAAAAGGAAGAGUAGAACUACACUACAGGGUUUCUGUUUCUUAAGGAAAGCAGACUGCCACAUCUUCCUCCCACAGAGCGGCCGGUGGGUUCUAACUGCCAACCUUUGGAUUGGCAGCCGAGUGUGUAACCACUGUGCUACCAGAUAAUAGGGAUAAUAAAACCUAUCUCAUAGAGUUGUGAAGAUUAGAUGAGUUACUAAAUGCAGUCACCCAGAACAGUAUCUUCUAUUAUGUUAAAUGAGGGAAUUUGCCUUUAACUAUAACUUUUUUUUUAUAACUUUAAACUGCAGUAUUUUGGAGCCCUGGUGGCGUAGUAAAGAGCUCAGCUGCUAACCAAAAGGUCGGCAGUUUAAAUUUACCAACUGCUCCUUGGAAACCCUAUGGCAGUUCUACUGUGUCCUGUAGGGUCACUAUGAGUCCGAAUCCACUCAAUGGCAGUGAA